This 500-nucleotide ribosomal RNA is filed under the name uncultured bacterium. Its description in RNAcentral is "partial 16S ribosomal RNA". It matches the Rfam family "Bacterial small subunit ribosomal RNA", at positions 30 to 523 of the family's 1533-position model. The record is from RNAcentral.
AUUGAACGCUGGCGGCAUGCUUUACACAUGCAAGUCGAACGGUAACAGGGAGCUUGCUCCGCUGACGAGUGGCGAACGGGUGAGUAAUGCGUCGGAACGUGCCGAGUAGUGGGGGAUAACGCAGCGAAAGUUGUGCUAAUACCGCAUACGUACUGAGGUAGAAAGUGGGGGACCUUCGGGCCUCACGCUAUUCGAGCGGCCGACGUCUGAUUAGCUAGUAGGUGAGGUAAAGGCUCACCUAGGCGACGAUCAGUAGCGGGUCUGAGAGGAUGAUCCGCCACACUGGGACUGAGACACGGCCCAGACUCCUACGGGAGGCAGCAGUGGGGAAUUUUGGACAAUGGGCGAAAGCCUGAUCCAGCCAUGCCGCGUGUCUGAAGAAGGCCUUCGGGUUGUAAAGGACUUUUGUCGGGGAGGAAAUCCCCAGCGCUAAUACCGCUGGGGGAUGACAGUACCUGAAGAAUAAGCACCGGCUAACUACGUGCCAGCCGCCGCGGUAA